RNAcentral lists this ribosomal RNA (254 nucleotides) under uncultured Solibacillus sp. Its description in RNAcentral is "partial 16S ribosomal RNA". It matches the Rfam family "Bacterial small subunit ribosomal RNA", at positions 524 to 776 of the family's 1533-position model. Lineage: Bacteria; Bacillati; Bacillota; Bacilli; Caryophanales; Caryophanaceae. The record is from RNAcentral.
UACGUAGGUGGCAAGCGUUGUCCGGAAUUAUUGGGCGUAAAGCGCGCGCAGGUGGUUCUUUAAGUCUGAUGUGAAAGCCCCCCGGCUCAACCGGGGAGGGUCAGUGGAAACUGGGGAACUUGAGUGCAGAAGAGGAUAGUGGAAUUCCAAGUGUAGCGGUGAAAUGCGUAGAGAUUUGGAGGAACGCCAGUGGCGAAGGCGACUGUCUGGUCUGUAACUGACACUGAGGCGCGAAAGCGUGGGGAGCAAACAGG